This 220-nucleotide ribosomal RNA is filed under the name uncultured Staphylococcus sp. RNAcentral describes it as "partial 16S ribosomal RNA". It matches the Rfam family "Bacterial small subunit ribosomal RNA", at positions 120 to 334 of the family's 1533-position model. The record is from RNAcentral. Lineage: Bacteria; Bacillati; Bacillota; Bacilli; Caryophanales; Staphylococcaceae.
GGUAACCUACCUAUAAGACUGGGACAACUUCGGGAAACCGGAGCUAAUACCGGAUAAGAUAUCGAACCGCAUGGUUCGAUAGUGAAAGAUGGUUUUGCUAUCACUUAUAGAUGGACCCGCGCCGUAUUAGCUAGUUGGUGAGGUAACGGCUCACCAAGACAACGAUACGUAGCCGACCUGAGAGGGUGAUCGGCCACACUGGAACUGAGACACGGUCCAG